This 1576-nucleotide ribosomal RNA is filed under the name Bacillus pumilus. RNAcentral describes it as "bacterial SSU rRNA". It matches the Rfam family "Bacterial small subunit ribosomal RNA". Lineage: Bacteria; Bacillati; Bacillota; Bacilli; Caryophanales; Bacillaceae. The record is from RNAcentral.
UCAAUUAGAAAAUUAAGGAAAGUUUUAUAUAGUUUUUUUUCCCUGUCAGGACGAACGCUGGCGGCGUGCCUAAUACAUGCAAGUCGAGCGGACAGAAGGGAGCUUGCUCCCGGAUGUUAGCGGCGGACGGGUGAGUAACACGUGGGUAACCUGCCUGUAAGACUGGGAUAACUCCGGGAAACCGGAGCUAAUACCGGAUAGUUCCUUGAACCGCAUGGUUCAAGGAUGAAAGACGGUUUCGGCUGUCACUUACAGAUGGACCCGCGGCGCAUUAGCUAGUUGGUGGGGUAAUGGCUCACCAAGGCGACGAUGCGUAGCCGACCUGAGAGGGUGAUCGGCCACACUGGGACUGAGACACGGCCCAGACUCCUACGGGAGGCAGCAGUAGGGAAUCUUCCGCAAUGGACGAAAGUCUGACGGAGCAACGCCGCGUGAGUGAUGAAGGUUUUCGGAUCGUAAAGCUCUGUUGUUAGGGAAGAACAAGUGCGAGAGUAACUGCUCGCACCUUGACGGUACCUAACCAGAAAGCCACGGCUAACUACGUGCCAGCAGCCGCGGUAAUACGUAGGUGGCAAGCGUUGUCCGGAAUUAUUGGGGCGUAAAGGGCUCGCAGGCGGUUUCUUAAGUCUGAUGUGAAAGCCCCCGGCUCAACCGGGGAGGGUCAUUGGAAACUGGGAAACUUGAGUGCAGAAGAGGAGAGUGGAAUUCCACGUGUAGCGGUGAAAUGCGUAGAGAUGUGGAGGAACACCAGUGGCGAAGGCGACUCUCUGGUCUGUAACUGACGCUGAGGAGCGAAAGCGUGGGGAGCGAACAGGAUUAGAUACCCUGGUAGUCCACGCCGUAAACGAUGAGUGCUAAGUGUUAGGGGGUUUCCGCCCCUUAGUGCUGCAGCUAACGCAUUAAGCACUCCGCCUGGGGAGUACGGUCGCAAGACUGAAACUCAAAGGAAUUGACGGGGGCCCGCACAAGCGGUGGAGCAUGUGGUUUAAUUCGAAGCAACGCGAAGAACCUUACCAGGUCUUGACAUCCUCUGACAACCCUAGAGAUAGGGCUUUCCCUUCGGGGACAGAGUGACAGGUGGUGCAUGGUUGUCGUCAGCUCGUGUCGUGAGAUGUUGGGUUAAGUCCCGCAACGAGCGCAACCCUUGAUCUUAGUUGCCAGCAUUCAGUUGGGCACUCUAAGGUGACUGCCGGUGACAAACCGGAGGAAGGUGGGGAUGACGUCAAAUCAUCAUGCCCCUUAUGACCUGGGCUACACACGUGCUACAAUGGACAGAACAAAGGGCUGCAAGACCGCAAGGUUUAGCCAAUCCCAUAAAUCUGUUCUCAGUUCGGAUCGCAGUCUGCAACUCGACUGCGUGAAGCUGGAAUCGCUAGUAAUCGCGGAUCAGCAUGCCGCGGUGAAUACGUUCCCGGGCCUUGUACACACCGCCCGUCACACCACGAGAGUUUGCAACACCCGAAGUCGGUGAGGUAACCUUUAUGGAGCCAGCCGCCGAAGGUGGGCAGAUGAUGGGGGACUAAGGCGGGGGGGGGGUGUGAGAAAAAAUAAAAAAAGAAAAAAAAACAAAAAGUUU